CCAAUAGCGUAUAUUGAAGUUGUUGCAGUUAAAAAGCUCGUAGUUGAAUUUCGGGAUCAAUACGUCGGUCGUGCUUUCGGGUACGUACUGGCGUCAUUGGUUUCUCCUUUCUGACGAACCAUGAUGUCAUUAAUUUGGUGUUAUGGGGAGUUAGGACUGUUACUUUGAAAAAAUUAGAGUGUUUAAAGCAGGCAUUAGCUUGAAUACAUUAGCAUGGAAUAAUGAAAUAGGACGUUCGAUCCUAUUUUGUUGGUUUCUAGGAUCAACGUAAUGAUUAAUAGGGAUAGUUGGGGGCAUUAGUAUUCAAUUGUCAGAGGUGAAAUUCUUGGAUUUAUUGAAGACUAACUACUGCGAAAGCAUUUGCCAAGGAUGUUUUCAUUAAUCAAGAACGAAAGUUAGGGGAUCGAAGACGAUCAGAUACCGUCGUAGUCUUAACCAUAAACUAUGCCGACUAGGGAUCGGAUGAUGUUAAUUUUUUAAUGACUCAUUCGGCGCCUUACG
Molecule: ribosomal RNA, 501 nt
Filed under: uncultured Glomeromycotina
Lineage: Eukaryota; Fungi; Glomeromycota
Description: partial small subunit ribosomal RNA
Rfam family: Eukaryotic small subunit ribosomal RNA
Source: RNAcentral